GGGGCUGAUUCUGGAUUCGACGGGAUUUGCGAAACCCAAGGUGCAUGCCGAGGGCGGUUGGCCUCGUAAAAAGCCGCAAAAAAAUAGUCGCAAACGACGAAAACUACGCUUUAGCAGCUUAAUAACCUGCUUAGAGCCCUCUCUCCCUAGCCUCCGCUCUUAGGACGGGGAUCAAGAGAGGUCAAACCCAAAAGAGAUCGCGCGGAUGCCCUGCCUGGGGUUGAAGCGUUAAAACGAAUCAGGCUAGUCUGGUAGUGGCGUGUCCGUCCGCAGGUGCCAGGCGAAUGUAAAGACUGACUAAGCAUGUAGUACCGAGGAUGUAGGAAUUUCGGACGCGGGUUCAACUCCCGCCAGCUCCACCA
This 362-nucleotide transfer-messenger RNA is filed under the name Salmonella enterica. Its description in RNAcentral is "Standard tmRNA". It matches the Rfam family "transfer-messenger RNA". Rfam says of the family: Bacterial tmRNA, also known as 10Sa RNA or SsrA, is named for its dual tRNA and mRNA-like properties. Lineage: Bacteria; Pseudomonadati; Pseudomonadota; Gammaproteobacteria; Enterobacterales; Enterobacteriaceae. The record is from RNAcentral. RNAcentral also lists the same sequence under 1 other name.